This 27-nucleotide non-coding RNA is filed under the name Mus musculus (house mouse). Lineage: Eukaryota; Metazoa; Chordata; Mammalia; Rodentia; Muridae. The record is from RNAcentral.
UGAAAAGUGCGGUUCCUACUGAAGAGG